AGAGAGAGACAUGCGUGCAUAUCAAUAAGCGGAGGAAAAGAAACUAACAAGGAUUCCCUUAGUAACGGCGAGUGAAGCGGGAAGAGCUCAAAUUUGAAAUCUUAAAGGGUUUCCCUUUACGAAUUGUAGUUUAAAGAAGUGUUUUCUGUUGGAGUUUUGGUAAAAGUUCUUUGGAAUAGGACAUCAUAGAGGGUGAGAAUCCCGUAUUUGACCAUUAUUUCCAGCUUUGUGAUACACUUUCAAAGAGUCGGAUUGUUUGGGAAUGCAGUCCAAAAUGGGUGGUAAAUUUCAUCUAAAGCUAAAUAUUGGCGAGAGACCGAUAGCGAACAAGUACCGUGAGGGAAAGAUGAAAAGAACUUUGAAAAGAGAGUUAAACAGUACGUGAAAUUGUCAAAAGGGAAGCGUUUGACACCAGUGUUGUUUUUCUGAAAAUCAAUUAAAGAACUGUUUAUGCUAAGCUGUUUAGACUUUAUCAGCUAACUGUUUAGUUUUGAGCUUUUCUUUAAUGCACUUUUCAGUUAACAAGUCAACAUCAAUUUCUUUUGCUGUAAAAAAGCUUGAGGAAGGUGGCUUGAGAUUCGUCUUAAGUGUUUAUAGCCUCUUGCCUAUGCAGUCGGAGAGAUUGAGGUCUGCAGCGUAGAUCCUUCGGGGCUAAAUGCAUUUGUGCUAGUUAUAGCAUUUUAUAGACAACUUGUUGACUAUGAUUUGUCUUGUAGCUUACUCGCUUAUGCUAUUUUACCUACGCUUAGGAUGUUGAUGUGAUACUGCGAGCA
Molecule: ribosomal RNA, 773 nt
Filed under: uncultured Neocallimastigales
Lineage: Eukaryota; Fungi; Neocallimastigomycota; Neocallimastigomycetes; Neocallimastigales
Description: partial large subunit ribosomal RNA
Rfam family: Eukaryotic large subunit ribosomal RNA
Source: RNAcentral